RNAcentral lists this transfer RNA (16 nucleotides) under Plestiodon indubitus. RNAcentral describes it as "partial tRNA-Met". Lineage: Eukaryota; Metazoa; Chordata; Lepidosauria; Squamata; Scincidae. The record is from RNAcentral.
GUAGAGUCAGCUAACU